UACGGAGGGAGCUAGCGUUGUUCGGAAUUACUGGGCGUAAAGCGCACGUAGGCGGCUAUUCAAGUCGGGGGUGAAAGCCCGGGGCUCAACCCCGGAAUUGCCUUUAAGACUGCAUCGCUUGAAUCCGGGAGAGGUGAGUGGAAUUCCGAGUGUAGCAGUGAAAUGCGUAGAUAUAGCGGAGGAACACCGAUGGCGAAGGCAAUCCCCUGGACCUGUACUGACGCUCUGCACGAAAGCGUGGGGAGCAAACAGG
Molecule: ribosomal RNA, 253 nt
Filed under: uncultured bacterium
Lineage: Bacteria
Description: partial 16S ribosomal RNA
Rfam family: Bacterial small subunit ribosomal RNA
Source: RNAcentral